RNAcentral lists this ribosomal RNA (301 nucleotides) under uncultured bacterium. RNAcentral describes it as "partial 16S ribosomal RNA". It matches the Rfam family "Bacterial small subunit ribosomal RNA", at positions 509 to 807 of the family's 1533-position model. The record is from RNAcentral.
CAGUAGCCGCGGGAAUACGAAGGGGGCUAGCGUUGUUCGGAUUUACUGGGCGUAAAGCGCACGUAGGCGGAUCGAUCAGUCAGGGGUGAAAUCCCAGAGCUCAACUCUGGAACUGCCUUUGAUACUGUCGAACUGGAGUAUGGAAGAGGUGAGUGGAAUUCCGAGUGUAGAGGUGAAAUUCGUAGAUAUUCGGAGGAACACCAGUGGCGAAGGCGGCUCACUGGUCCAUUACUGACGCUGAGGUGCGAAAGCGUGGGGAGCAAACAGGAUUAGAUACCCCAGUAGUCCCUGUCUCUUAUAC